GGCACCGUGGCGAAGUAGAAACGCGGUGGUCUGCAAAACCUCCAUGCGCGGGUGCAAUUCCCGCCGGUGCCU
RNAcentral lists this transfer RNA (72 nucleotides) under Candidatus Sungbacteria bacterium RIFCSPLOWO2_01_FULL_60_25. Its description in RNAcentral is "tRNA-Cys". It matches the Rfam family "tRNA". Rfam says of the family: Transfer RNA (tRNA) molecules are approximately 80 nucleotides in length. Their secondary structure includes four short double-helical elements and three loops (D, anti-codon, and T loops). The record is from RNAcentral. Lineage: Bacteria; Candidatus Sungiibacteriota.